AGAUCUGUUCAUAGAUCGUGAACAGGGUAAAUUAAAAAAAGCUCACCGAGA
Molecule: non-coding RNA, 51 nt
Filed under: unclassified sequences
Description: 6A RNA
Rfam family: 6A RNA
About the family: Actinobacteria (1 example), Firmicutes, Fusobacteria. Terminator (Clostridia)
Source: Rfam by way of RNAcentral